Pseudonaja textilis is the source of this 537-nucleotide non-coding RNA. NCBI's taxonomy places the organism in Eukaryota, Metazoa, Chordata, Lepidosauria, Squamata, Elapidae. The record is from the annotation of a RefSeq genome assembly.
AUGAUUUUGUGGCUGAGCUUGGUGUCCUUACUUGUAUCUCUUGGAGGUGUCAGAUCUGAUGUCCAGUUGGUGGAGUCUGGAGGGGAUGUGAGAAGACCUGGGGAGUCCCUCCGUCUCUCCUGCCAAGCCUCUGGAUUCACCUUCAGCAGCUAUGAAAUGAGCUGGGUGAGACAGGCCCCAGGGAAAGGCCUGGAAUGGGUAGCCUACAUAAGCGAAGGCUCAUCUUACAUUUACUAUUUAAACAAAGUCAAGGGACGCUUCACCAUCUCUAGGGAUAAUGCCAAAAGCCAGCUGUAUCUGCAAAUGAACAGCCUCAAACCAGAAGACACUGCAGUCUAUUACUGUGCAAGAGACACAGUGAGAGGAAGUGAAUUUGAAGCCCACCAAGAACUUUCUCUACCUCUGAACAUCUUUCACAUAUUUUCAUUUACUCCCUUUUUUUUCUUUCAAUAUUGCCAAACUUCCACAGUCUCAUUCUUUUCUACAAGUUAUGCACUUUUCAUUUGUUCUCCAUUAAUUUAUACUCAGUGUGCUUAA